Molecule: long non-coding RNA, 727 nt
Filed under: Phaseolus vulgaris (common bean)
Lineage: Eukaryota; Viridiplantae; Streptophyta; Magnoliopsida; Fabales; Fabaceae
Description: long non-coding RNA (PVUL_LNC005129)
Source: RNAcentral
UCUAUGAAAACAAAAUUCUUCUCUAUAUUCAUUAACGACAUUGGUACUCAAAUAGGAUUUGUAAAGAGCCGCUGGAUUUUAUCCUUGUAAGCAACAUUACAUUAAAACUGAAAGCAAUUAAAUUAAACAAUCCUAUAGGCCCAUUCAAAUUAAGAAGUCUUCCAUCCAUCUAGGUUUAUUAAUCUGACGUUUGGACUUGUUGUUGUUAGAUCAUGGUGUAACAUUACCGUUGGUUUAGGCACUUUGUUCUCAAAGUGAGUGUGAUGAACUUGUUGGGCUGAUUGGUUGGGCUUGGCUGUAAUUGGAAUUUGUUGAGGCUUCUUCUUCCUGCACCCCCACGUUUUUCUUCCUACACCCCACAAUUUUAAAAAUUCCAACAUUACCCUUGACCUAAAAUUUGAAAAGGGCACUGUUCUGCAUUUCCAUAAUCACUGAUCAUUUUUAUCCUUGGGUAUCAACUGCAAUGUCAAAUUUAAAUAAAGUUUACUACAAAACACUACAAAACCUAGUAUAAUUGUUUACCCAAACACUAAAUAAAGUUUAAAUAUAAUACCAAGCAAAACACUACAAAACCUUGACCCAGUAUAAUUGUUGUUUACUAAUUUGAGUAACACAAACACAAACAGCAACUCAUUAUUCCGGACACAUCAAUCCGCUACAAUACCGGAUCCAUAAAUUUGGAAGCUUACCGGAUCCAUAAAUUUGGAAGCUUACUGGAUCCCGAAAU